UACGAAGGGGGCUAGCGUUGUUCGGAAUUACUGGGCGUAAAGCGCACGUAGGCGGAUCGAUCAGUCAGGGGUGAAAUCCCAGGGCUCAACCCUGGAACUGCCUUUGAUACUGUCGAUCUGGAGUAUGGAAGAGGUAAGUGGAAUUCCGAGUGUAGAGGUGAAAUUCGUAGAUAUUCGGAGGAACACCAGUGGCGAAGGCGGCUCACUGGUCCGGUACUGACGCUGAGGUGCGAAAGCGUGGGGAGCAAACAGG
RNAcentral lists this ribosomal RNA (253 nucleotides) under uncultured bacterium. RNAcentral describes it as "partial 16S ribosomal RNA". It matches the Rfam family "Bacterial small subunit ribosomal RNA", at positions 524 to 776 of the family's 1533-position model. The record is from RNAcentral.